This is a long non-coding RNA of Carassius auratus (goldfish), 493 nucleotides long. RefSeq lists it as uncharacterized. The transcript is spliced from 3 exons. Lineage: Eukaryota; Metazoa; Chordata; Actinopteri; Cypriniformes; Cyprinidae. The record is from RefSeq and is a predicted model, not a curated record.
CUCUGUUUGUCUCUUUCUAGUCUUUAUAACUGUGACAUUACAGAUGUUUCUUCUUUAACUCAGUCUUUGACAAACACAAAAGCUCUGCAGUUUCUAAAACAGCUUGAUCUGAGAUAUAAUAAGAUUGGAGACUCAAAGCAGAAGCUCAUUGAUGUGCUACGAGACUCAAACUGUAAACUGAGUGAAUGACGAUACGGAAAUGACGUCUGCUGUCCAUCCACUGGUGUCCAGCCACUGGUGUCUAGCAAGAAGUGAGUCUGCGGGGCUGCAGCUGGAUGCCUCUCCUUCAGUUUGGCGGUUUUCUGAGGUAUUGCUCUUUCACUAGUAAACACAAAGCAACAGAAUGUGGACUCAUACACAUGGUUUAUUUAAUCUCAUGUAAUGUGCUGAUUUAUUAGGCUUUUUAUUAUAUAAAAUAACACCAAAGACUUAUGCACUCAGUCUGUCUAUAAUAUGAAAACUGGUGAAACAAAGAAAAAUAUGAUAACAGUGA